This 2925-nucleotide ribosomal RNA is filed under the name Salmonella enterica subsp. enterica serovar Enteritidis. Its description in RNAcentral is "bacterial LSU rRNA". It matches the Rfam family "Bacterial large subunit ribosomal RNA". RNAcentral also lists the same sequence under 67 other names. The record is from RNAcentral. Lineage: Bacteria; Pseudomonadati; Pseudomonadota; Gammaproteobacteria; Enterobacterales; Enterobacteriaceae.
GGGUUGUGAGGUUAAGCGACUAAGCGUACACGGUGGAUGCCCUGGCAGUCAGAGGCGAUGAAGGGCGUGCUAAUCUGCGAUAAGCGCCGGUAAGGUGAUAUGAACCGUUAUAACCGGCGAUACCCGAAUGGGGAAACCCAGUGUGAUUCGUCACACUAUCAUUAACUGAAUCCAUAGGUUAAUGAGGCGAACCGGGGGAACUGAAACAUCUAAGUACCCCGAGGAAAAGAAAUCAACCGAGAUUCCCCCAGUAGCGGCGAGCGAACGGGGAGGAGCCCAGAGCCUGAAUCAGCAUGUGUGUUAGUGGAAGCGUCUGGAAAGGCGCGCGAUACAGGGUGACAGCCCCGUACACAAAAGCGCAUGUGCUGUGAGCUCGAUGAGUAGGGCGGGACACGUGGUAUCCUGUCUGAAUAUGGGGGGACCAUCCUCCAAGGCUAAAUACUCCUGACUGACCGAUAGUGAACCAGUACCGUGAGGGAAAGGCGAAAAGAACCCCGGCGAGGGGAGUGAAAAAGAACCUGAAACCGUGUACGUACAAGCAGUGGGAGCACCCUUUGGGUGUGACUGCGUACCUUUUGUAUAAUGGGUCAGCGACUUAUAUUCUGUAGCAAGGUUAACCGAAUAGGGGAGCCGGAGGGAAACCGAGUCUUAAUUGGGCGUUAAGUUGCAGGGUAUAGACCCGAAACCCGGUGAUCUAGCCAUGGGCAGGUUGAAGGUUGGGUAACACUAACUGGAGGACCGAACCGACUAAUGUUGAAAAAUUAGCGGAUGACCUGUGGCUGGGGGUGAAAGGCCAAUCAAACCGGGAGAUAGCUGGUUCUCCCCGAAAGCUAUUUAGGUAGCGCCUCGUGAAUUCAUCUCCGGGGGUAGAGCACUGUUUCGGCUAGGGGGCCAUCCCGGCUUACCAACCCGAUGCAAACUGCGAAUACCGGAGAAUGUUAUCACGGGAGACACACGGCGGGUGCUAACGUCCGUCGUGAAGAGGGAAACAACCCAGACCGCCAGCUAAGGUCCCAAAGUCAUGGUUAAGUGGGAAACGAUGUGGGAAGGCCCAGACAGCCAGGAUGUUGGCUUAGAAGCAGCCAUCAUUUAAAGAAAGCGUAAUAGCUCACUGGUCGAGUCGGCCUGCGCGGAAGAUGUAACGGGGCUAAACCAUGCACCGAAGCUGCGGCAGCGACACUGUGUGUUGUUGGGUAGGGGAGCGUUCUGUAAGCCUGUGAAGGUGUGUCGUGAGGCAUGCUGGAGGUAUCAGAAGUGCGAAUGCUGACAUAAGUAACGAUAAAGCGGGUGAAAAGCCCGCUCGCCGGAAGACCAAGGGUUCCUGUCCAACGUUAAUCGGGGCAGGGUGAGUCGACCCCUAAGGCGAGGCCGAAAGGCGUAGUCGAUGGGAAACGGGUUAAUAUUCCCGUACUUGGUGUUACUGCGAAGGGGGGACGGAGAAGGCUAUGUUGGCCGGGCGACGGUUGUCCCGGUUUAAGCGUGUAGGUGUGUGUUCCAGGUAAAUCCGGUUCACUUUAACACUGAGGCGUGACGACGAGGCACUACGGUGCUGAAGCAACAAAUGCCCUGCUUCCAGGAAAAGCCUCUAAGCAUCAGGUAACAUCAAAUCGUACCCCAAACCGACACAGGUGGUCAGGUAGAGAAUACCAAGGCGCUUGAGAGAACUCGGGUGAAGGAACUAGGCAAAAUGGUGCCGUAACUUCGGGAGAAGGCACGCUGACACGUAGGUGAAGUGAUUUACUCAUGGAGCUGAAGUCAGUCGAAGAUACCAGCUGGCUGCAACUGUUUAUUAAAAACACAGCACUGUGCAAACACGAAAGUGGACGUAUACGGUGUGACGCCUGCCCGGUGCCGGAAGGUUAAUUGAUGGGGUCAGCGCAAGCGAAGCUCCUGAUCGAAGCCCCGGUAAACGGCGGCCGUAACUAUAACGGUCCUAAGGUAGCGAAAUUCCUUGUCGGGUAAGUUCCGACCUGCACGAAUGGCGUAAUGAUGGCCAGGCUGUCUCCACCCGAGACUCAGUGAAAUUGAACUCGCUGUGAAGAUGCAGUGUACCCGCGGCAAGACGGAAAGACCCCGUGAACCUUUACUAUAGCUUGACACUGAACAUUGAGCCUUGAUGUGUAGGAUAGGUGGGAGGCUUUGAAGUGUGGACGCCAGUCUGCAUGGAGCCGACCUUGAAAUACCACCCUUUAAUGUUUGAUGUUCUAACGUGGACCCGUUACCCGGGUUGCGGACAGUGUCUGGUGGGUAGUUUGACUGGGGCGGUCUCCUCCUAAAGAGUAACGGAGGAGCACGAAGGUUGGCUAAUCCUGGUCGGACAUCAGGAGGUUAGUGCAAUGGCAUAAGCCAGCUUGACUGCGAGCGUGACGGCGCGAGCAGGUGCGAAAGCAGGUCAUAGUGAUCCGGUGGUUCUGAAUGGAAGGGCCAUCGCUCAACGGAUAAAAGGUACUCCGGGGAUAACAGGCUGAUACCGCCCAAGAGUUCAUAUCGACGGCGGUGUUUGGCACCUCGAUGUCGGCUCAUCACAUCCUGGGGCUGAAGUAGGUCCCAAGGGUAUGGCUGUUCGCCAUUUAAAGUGGUACGCGAGCUGGGUUUAGAACGUCGUGAGACAGUUCGGUCCCUAUCUGCCGUGGGCGCUGGAGAACUGAGGGGGGCUGCUCCUAGUACGAGAGGACCGGAGUGGACGCAUCACUGGUGUUCGGGUUGUCAUGCCAAUGGCACUGCCCGGUAGCUAAAUGCGGAAGAGAUAAGUGCUGAAAGCAUCUAAGCACGAAACUUGCCCCGAGAUGAGUUCUCCCUGAGACUUAGAGUCUCCUGAAGGAACGUUGAAGACGACGACGUUGAUAGGCCGGGUGUGUAAGCGCAGCGAUGCGUUGAGCUAACCGGUACUAAUGAACCGUGAGGCUUAACCUUACAACGCCGAAG